RNAcentral lists this ribosomal RNA (276 nucleotides) under uncultured soil bacterium. Its description in RNAcentral is "partial 16S ribosomal RNA". It matches the Rfam family "Bacterial small subunit ribosomal RNA", at positions 26 to 285 of the family's 1533-position model. The record is from RNAcentral.
AGAAUCAACGCUGGCGGCGUGCCUCAGACAUGCAAGUCGAACGCGAAAGUCCCCUUCGGGGGACAAGUAGAGUGGCGCACGGGUGAGUAACACGUAGGUAAUCUACCUUUGGAUGGGGAAUAACAACCGGAAACGGUUGCUAAUACCGCAUAAUGCAGCGGCACCUAAUGGUGACAGUUGUUAAAGCGGGGGAUCGAAAGACCUCGCGUCUGAAGAGGAGCCUGCGGCGGAUUAGCUAGUUGGUAAGGUAACGGCUUACCAAGGCGACGAUCCGUA